RNAcentral lists this ribosomal RNA (494 nucleotides) under uncultured bacterium. Its description in RNAcentral is "partial 16S ribosomal RNA". It matches the Rfam family "Bacterial small subunit ribosomal RNA", at positions 36 to 507 of the family's 1533-position model. The record is from RNAcentral.
UCCUCCCUCUUUCUUCGUGCUUAACACAUGCAAGUCGAACGGUGAAGCGCCUUCCUUUUUGGUGGGUGUGGAUGAGUGGCGAACGGGUGAGUAACACGUGAGUAACCUGCCCCCUUCUUCUGGAUAACCGCAUGAAAGUGUGGCUAAUACGGGAUAUUCUGGGUCUGUCGCAUGAUGGGUCUGGGACAGAUAUUGUUUCGGUGGGGGAUGGGCGCGCGGCCUAUCAGCUUGUUGGUGGGGUGAUGGCCUACCAAGGCGGUGACGGGUAGCCGGCCUGAGAGGGUGGACGGUCACACUGGGACUGAGACACGGCCCAGACUCCUACGGGAGGCAGCAGUGGGGAAUAUUGCACAAUGGGCGCAAGCCUGAUGCAGCGACGCCGCGUGAGGGAUGGAGGCCUUCGGGUUGUGAACCUCUUUCGCCAGUGAAGCAGGCCUGCCUCGUUUGUGGGUGGGUUGACGGUAGCUGGAGAAGAAGCGCCGGCUAACUACGUG